GAUGAAGAACGUAGCGAAAUGUGAUACUUGGUGUGAAUUGCAGAAUCCCGUGAACCAUCGAGUCUUUGAACGCAAGUUGCGCCUCAAGCCAUUAGGUUGAGGGCACGUCUGCCUGGGCGUCACAUAUCGUUGCCUGAUGCCAGUUUCCUCGUGAUGGGUGACUGUGCAGGGCGAAUGAUGGCUUCCCGUGAGCAUUGUUGCCUCAUGGUUGGUUGAAAAUUGAGUCCUUGGUAGGGAGCGCCGUGAUAGAUGGUGGUUGAGUGACGAACGAGACCCAAUCAUGUGAGACCCCUACCGAAUUUGGCCUUCAUGACCCACAUGCGUCUUUGGAACGCUCAUGACGAGACCUCAGGUCAGGCGGGGCUACCCGCUGAGUUUAAGCAUAUCAAUAAGCGGAGGA
This 400-nucleotide unclassified non-coding RNA is filed under the name soil metagenome. RNAcentral describes it as "partial contains 5.8S ribosomal RNA, internal transcribed spacer 2, and large subunit ribosomal RNA". The stretch from base 1 to 122 matches the Rfam family "5.8S ribosomal RNA", at positions 35 to 154 of the family's 154-position model. The record is from RNAcentral.